AAUCAGGGUAAAGAGAAACAGAGCUGAGAUUAGAAGAUUCAGGUUGAUUAGAAAAUAUGAAUACUUUUGGAGAGUAAUGGAGGACUGUCAUGGAUAUGAGGAUGGAGCACAUGUAGGAAAACAGAAACUGAUGGGUUUGGUUCACCCAAAACCCCUCAAAAAAUAUCCCUUAGCCACAGUACGUCUGUGUGUGCUGUGCUAAAUCUCAACAUUUCAACCCACAUACUUUAUACUGAAUUUGAAUUAUAAGCCAGCGGGAACGGCUGGAAACCCCACAGUUGCAUUUCUCUGCCUACCAAAGCGCACUUUACAUCCAUGUCUCUCUGCGGGUAACUUUUUUACUAUUUGAACAUAAAAAUGUUAUAAUUUUAUAAAUAACAUAUCCUUUUAAGCUAUUGUGAGAAAUGAUAUCACAGUGUGAAUUAAGCCAAAAGCUCUCAGCGACUUUUAAACACCGACUACCAAAUUCUAAUCAGUUCGUGCUUGAACUUCCAAAUUUAAAGACAAUCCCCGAAAACCUUCAAAAGGUAUCAUGUGCUUGAUUAAGAUGAACAAAGUUGUCCAUCUUAAGGUAUACAAACUUAUGGACACAUGGAUGGGCAGAGAACUGCAGACACCCGCUGCUCUCAGUGGUGUGAAGGGGAAAAAAUAGGUGAUGUCAUGUAACAGAUGUUUGUUAAACAGACAUACUGUUUUAUUUGUUUUCCUGUACAAGGAAGAUUAACAUCCAGUUCCUGCCUACACCAAUGCAGCUGAUAUAAGUACUGAUACUGUACGUUUACUUCCUAAGUUAGAAUAGUUCCUAUUGAUGUACAAGGAUAGUUGAAACCUCCAAAGAGGUCAACUUACCUUAAGAUGAAGUUCACACGUGGCCAGAUGUGAUGAGAACUCUUACCUGGAUUGUGACAAAACCCAUCAGUUUGCAAUGUCUGACGAGUAAAAGUGAAAGGAACAUGUAUCAAGGUUGAAAAGAAAUCAUCCUGAAAUACUGUAUCAACUAAUGGAAAUGAAGGAAAAUAAAAAAAAAAGGUUGGGUAAAAGACAAGAAAGGGUUCCACAUUAAAAAAAAAGUAAGUAAAAGGAUUUUGAUGCAGUAAGUGAGGCUGGUCUGUGAGGCUCUUAUAGGCUUCAUGUUUUGUGCAAUAAAGAAGCUGAUACAGAAGUGCUGUAUUCAGCAACAGUUAAUAUUACAGUUCCUUAUAUAUUAGACAAAUUGUUGCACUGUAAUGUUAAAAAAAAGGAAAUCAAAUGAGCUGCUUUGUUCAGACUGUUUAGAUUUGUGAUUGAGUCGCAGAGGAAGCCUUUGCUCAUUUCACUGAUUAUUCCUGAGUAUUAGUUCUUUAUGUUCACUGCCUCAAAAUUCUGCGCGCUGCACCGAAAAUGUGAGCGCUCGAGUGAAGGACGAAAUGUAACUUUUAAAACGUCGACCCUCAGCUCUCGAAUCCGAGGCAGAGAAAACAAACGACAGUGUUUGAAUUUUUAUCUCUAUAUGCAAAACGUCUGAAAUUAUUUUUUAGCUGUUAUAAAUAGAUGAAACGGACUCUUUGCAUUGGGAUUUUAGCACAACUGUGAAAUUCAAAUGGAUUUUACACAUGGAUAUUCCCACACUCGGUCACUAGAGAGUGCAAAAAAUCCACCUUUUGCACUAUAAACACGUAUUUGGUAUCUAGCCAAUGGAGCGCUCUUGCAGUUUACAUGUGAAGGAAGCGCCGGGCGAACUGUGUUCUCAGAAAUGUUUACAUUUGAUGUCAGGGUUUGUUUAAAACACUGUAUGGAGUUGAUAUUGUGAGACGAAAGCUGAAUGUUUUAAGGGCUCCUGGAAUCUUAAAUAUCACUUCUUUGUAUGUCUCUCUGGUGGGAUUUGUGUGCGUGUGUGUGCGUGUCAAGAUAAUCUUGGGUCACAAAUGUCAUUUAAACCAUAUGAAUUAAUAAACAUCCACACCUGUCUUGUCUGA
Molecule: long non-coding RNA, 1955 nt
Organism: Astatotilapia calliptera (eastern happy)
Lineage: Eukaryota; Metazoa; Chordata; Actinopteri; Cichliformes; Cichlidae
Source: Ensembl